RNAcentral lists this long non-coding RNA (1124 nucleotides) under Phascolarctos cinereus (koala). RNAcentral describes it as "lncRNA (ENSPCIG00000032850.1)". The record is from RNAcentral. Lineage: Eukaryota; Metazoa; Chordata; Mammalia; Diprotodontia; Phascolarctidae.
CAGCAGCACCCGUGGGGAGGUCCCAUCACCUCAGUCUUCAAGGCAGGUCUUGAAAGCCAAGGCAGGUGGCACAGGGCCUCAGAGCCACACCCUUGAAAGGUGACAUUCAGACCCCCUGGGGAAGGAUGAAUCCAGGGAAGCUUUGGAGCCUCUUCGCCACCAUUCCCAGAGGUGCCACACAGGAGCCAUUCCUUCUGGAGAUAGACUGGUCCUUCCUUUGACCUUGGUGGGAGAACAGGCAAAGAGGACGGAACUCAGGCCCCACCAGGAGAAAGAAGGGGUCAUCCAGCAGAUGCUGCUGCAUCACCCUUGGCAGCCUCCUCUUCCUCCUCUCAGCCCUGGCUGUCCGUGGCUUCUGCGGCUUAUUCUGGGGAAGUGUCUCCUGGGACAGGAAACAGGAGGCUGCGUUAUUCAAUGGGCCAUUCAAGUUGUGAAUGUACUUCUGGCAAGUUUGCUUCUCCAUGCAUGGACCCAAAGCUUCCAGGGCCGAGAAAGGGAAGACCCACAAACAGAAGGAAGGGAAGGCAGACAUCUCACCACCACAGGAACCCACCUACUUACCACCAUGGGUAACCGGUAUACACAGGAACCCAAGAACCAAGAGGAGCAUUGUGAUCAAGGACAGGAGGGUGCAGAAAGAAAAUCAGGACAGAGGGCACUGAGUACUUUUAUCCAGUCACUGGGGCUGGGCAAGACCGAAGAGCAAGCAACCAGCAGAGAUAAGGAUGGCCUCCAUCCAGACCAACCUUAGAUUCCAAGAGGACUCCAGCCCCUUCUCCAUGCACCCCAAGCCAAGGACCCAGCUUCAGACAGGGUCUAAGAAAGCUCAUGUUUGCAUGGCGGCUCUGAUGACAAUUCCCUGGAUAACCUUGGACACAUCCAUUCUCUUCUCUCUGGGCCUCAGUUUCCAUGAGAUCAUAGAUUCAGAGCCAAAAGGGACCUUAGAAGCUAUGAAAUCUAAUGCCCUCAUUUCACAGGUGAGGUUAGGUGAUAAAUCUAGGGUCUCAUACCUGAGACAGCAUUUGAACUUGGACCUUACUGCAUCUAAGUCCCCAGGUUCUGUCCACUAGUUUCUGGGCCACCCAGUUUCUUUCUUUGUAAAAUAAAAGAGGUAAUUAAUUACA